UGUCAUAUCGCAAUAAAACACCGGUUUCCAUACGAUCACCGAAGUUAAGCAACGUCGAACCUAGUCAGAACCUAGGUAGGAGACCGCUUGGGAAUACAGAUGUUGUAA
Non-coding RNA from Acanthosepion pharaonis, 108 nucleotides. NCBI's taxonomy places the organism in Eukaryota, Metazoa, Mollusca, Cephalopoda, Sepiida, Sepiidae. The record is from the annotation of a GenBank genome assembly.